GCCGGCGUAGCUCAGGGGUAGAGCAACUGAUUCGUAAUCAGUAGGCCAGAGGUUCAAUUCCUCUCGCCGGCACCA
RNAcentral lists this transfer RNA (75 nucleotides) under Alphaproteobacteria bacterium. RNAcentral's name for it is "tRNA-Thr". It matches the Rfam family "tRNA". Rfam says of the family: Transfer RNA (tRNA) molecules are approximately 80 nucleotides in length. Their secondary structure includes four short double-helical elements and three loops (D, anti-codon, and T loops). The record is from RNAcentral. Lineage: Bacteria; Pseudomonadati; Pseudomonadota; Alphaproteobacteria.